UCCUGCUAAAGGAAUCUUUUGCCGGUCCUAAAAGCACCGGUGAAUAAGGGGUGGGCAAGUCUGGUGUCAGCCGCCGCGGUAAUACCAGCACCUCGAGUGAUCAGGACGUUUAUUGGGCCUAAAGCAUCCGUAGCUGGCUUUGCAAGUCUCCGGUUAAAUCAACCUGCUUAACAGAUUGGCCGCUGGAGAUACUACAAAGCUAGGGAGUGGGAGAGGCAGACGGUAUUCGGGGGGUAGGGGUAAAAUCCUCUGAUCCUCUGAGGACCACCAGUGGCGAAGGCGGUCUGCCAGAACACGUUCGACAGUGAGGGAUGAAAGCUGGGGGAGCAAACCGGAUUAGAUACCCCCGUAGUCC
Molecule: ribosomal RNA, 355 nt
Filed under: uncultured bacterium
Lineage: Bacteria
Description: bacterial SSU rRNA
Rfam family: Archaeal small subunit ribosomal RNA
Source: RNAcentral